RNAcentral lists this ribosomal RNA (253 nucleotides) under uncultured bacterium. RNAcentral describes it as "partial 16S ribosomal RNA". It matches the Rfam family "Bacterial small subunit ribosomal RNA", at positions 524 to 776 of the family's 1533-position model. The record is from RNAcentral.
UACGUAGGGUGCGAGCGUUGUCCGGAAUUACUGGGCGUAAAGAGCUCGUAGGCGGUUUGUCGCAUCGGCUGUGAAAACCUGGGGCUCAACCCCGGGCCUGCAGCCGAUACGGGCAAACUAGAAUUCGGUAGGGGAGACUGGAAUUCCUGGUGUAGCGGUGAAAUGCGCAGAUAUCAGGAGGAACACCGGUGGCGAAGGCGGGUCUCUGGGCCGAUAUUGACGCUGAGGAGCGAAAGCGUGGGGAGCGAACAGG